GGAAGAAGCUGAUGUGAUGAUGGCUAUUCAGAAGUUGAAAUGCUGUUUCUGACUUCUGAUAACCCUUCCAUUUCCUCAUUCAGGAGACCCAUAGUGCUAUUCCGGCAAGUAAACCAACUCUUGAAAUGAUAAACUGAAUGUUGAGACUCAUCGGACAUUUAUUCUUGGCCUCCUAUGUCUUUCAUCGUCUAAGUAACUAUCUGAUUGAUCACCAUAAUUACUAUUUCUUCC
Molecule: unclassified non-coding RNA, 231 nt
Filed under: Hevea brasiliensis (rubber tree)
Lineage: Eukaryota; Viridiplantae; Streptophyta; Magnoliopsida; Malpighiales; Euphorbiaceae
Source: RNAcentral